GGCUGGAAUAUUUGUCUGUGUAUGUAUUGAAAGAAGUAAAAUGAGUGUUAUAAAAUCAAUUUUUGAGUUUAAGUAAGUGUUAGAGAAAUAUAAGUUUGAGACGAUAGUUAAGAAGUACUGUAAAGGGAUGGUUAAGAGUGGUUGGUAAGUUAUGGUAGUAAAUUUAAAUUAUUGUACCUUGUGUAUCAGGGAAAAUUGAAAUUUAAUCAAAAAUAGUGAAGGUCCCGAAGUAAGAACAGCUAAUUUUAUAAGAGAGUCUUUGUUACAAAAAGGUUUUUAAUAUGAAGUUAAAGGUGAGAUGCCAUUCGAGUUUUAGUAUAUCUGGUUUUUCGAGAAAUAAAUAUAAUUUAGGACCCGGGCGAGUAAUUGGUUUGGGGGCUAAGAGUGGAAGGGGUAAGCUUUUCAUUUUGUAAUAAUAAUUAAUAGUUGAGUAAUUAUAAUUUCUUUUUUCUAGGCUUAAGAGUAGCUAUGAGGGAGCAAAGUGUUUUAACUGAGAGGAGUGAGUAAAAUUAUUUAUUUUAACUUUAAUAGGUAUUGAGGCAUUUAUUUGAUUUUAUUAUAUUAAGGGAUAAUGAUUUUAUUAGUAGAAUAGGCGAUAGUUGUGAGAAAGAAAAUUUUAAAUGAUGAUUGGAGUUUUAAGGGUUUGGUGUAUAGUUUAGGAAUUCGGCAAAUGGAUUCUUUGCCUGUUUAUCAAAAACAUGUCCGUUUGGAGUUAUAAAUGGUCUGGCCUGCUCACUGACAUAGUAAGAGUGUUUAAGAGCCGCGGUAUCUUGACCGUGCAAAGGUAGCAUAAUCAUUAGCUUUUUAAUUGGAAGCUUGUAUGAAGGGUCGUACAAAAGAAUAGCUGUCUUUACUAUAAAUAUUGAAUUUAACUUUUAAGUGAAAAGGCUUAAAUGUUCUAGGGGGACGAUAAGACCCUAUAAAGCUUUACAUAUGAGUUUAAUUUAAUUGAAUUGGUUAAUAAGAGUUAUAAUUUAACUAUUAUGUUUUAUUGGGGCGAUAGAGGUAUAAUUAAUAUUAACUGCUUAAGAGUGGGCCAUGGAUUUGUGAGAUGAAAGGAAAUGAUCCUUUAUAAAGAUUAAAAGACUAAGUUACUUUAGGGAUAACAGCGUUAUUCUUUUUGAGAGUUCAUAUCGAAAAAAGAGUUUGCGACCUCGAUGUUGAAUUAAAAUACCUGCAGGGUGCAGCAGUUCUGUAAGGAAGUCUGUUCGACUUUUAAAUUUUUACAUGAUUUGAGUUCAGACCGGCGUGAGCCAGGUCGGUUUCUAUCUCCUAGUUAGUGUAAUUCAUUUUAGUACGAAAGGAUUGAAUGAAUUUAAAAGUUAAUUAGUAUGAA
This 1336-nucleotide ribosomal RNA is filed under the name Leptodius sanguineus. RNAcentral's name for it is "16S ribosomal RNA". The stretch from base 640 to 1336 matches the Rfam family "Archaeal large subunit ribosomal RNA", at positions 1423 to 2799 of the family's 2987-position model. The record is from RNAcentral. Lineage: Eukaryota; Metazoa; Arthropoda; Malacostraca; Decapoda; Xanthidae.